GAAAGAACCUGGAAGCGAGCAUCCAGAGUUCAGCAAGCUACACUCUCGCAGAUCCAAACCGGAAGAACCUUUUCCAGAGAAGAUAAUGAGAUAGGUGGUGCACGAAUGAGAUUGAGGCCUUACGAGCAACUCAAGUGCUGAAGGAAAAGCUUUAGAUGAGAUGUUAACUAAGGUUUCAUGCAAGUAAAAGGAACCAAAGAAAGUGACAGUGGUUGUGUUUAAGAACUGAUCAAAAUGCAUAAUCUAGAAAUGAAGAAAGUAGCUGACGAGAAGAAGGAUGCUUUGGCUGCACAGUUUGUAGCUGAAGCAGCCCUUAGGAGGCUACACACAAACAACAAGGAGGAGGAUCUUCUACCAAUUGAUUCGAUCAUCGAUCCUCUUGAAGCUGACAUCAAAAUUUACAAGAAUGAGAUUGCAACUUUGCUAGAGGAUAAGAAAGCUAUGGAACGUCAUACAAAGUCAAAAGAAGCAGUUGUCCUUGAGACAAGGAAAAUCUUGAGGAGUUGAGGAUAUAUAAAACCAAAACCUCGAGUUAAGGAGACAGAUCGAAAUCUACCUGGAAGAGAACAAAAUACUCGAAAAGACCAACCAUCAGAAAGUCAUAGAGGUUGAAAAGCUUAGCCAGGCGAUUCAGGAACUUGAGGAGGUCGUUUUGGCUGGUGGGGGCUACUGCUAAUGUUGUUAUAGAAACGCAAAAUCUCUGAGCUCAAUGAGGAGAAGAUAAUUCGUGAGGGGGAGCUUGCACGAGCUAAGGUGUCAGCAAACAGAGUGGCAACUGUAGUUGGCUAAUGAAUGGAAAGACGGGGUUGAUAAGGUAAUUCCAGUGAAGCAAUGGGUUGAAGAACAUAGGGUUUUGCAAGUAUACAACUCCCUGUACAUGGAAUUCCUCUUAUCGACCAUAUAAUCUCAGUCAAACAAAUGACACAUGUAUGCCAAUUUUCAAGCAGAGAUGAAGCGUUUAAAGGACAAACUAGCAGUGACUGAAAAAACUGCAAAGGCAGAAUCAUAGAUGAAGAUAAAAUGGUCUAUGACAGGAGAGAAACAAACCAAGAUUCUACGAUUUAAUAUAAUUUCGCAUACAAGGGACAUGAAAGGUUUGUUGCUAGCUGGUUAUUAUGUGGAAUAUAUUUGUUAUAAGUUCCUUUAACUUUUCUUAUGUGACUUAUAUGACUUAUGUGACAUAUCUUUUGUAACUUUUGAUGCGUUUAAACAAAUUGAUGGAAGUAAAUUUGAGGGAACUAAGGAGGGUUCUGAUGGAUGGUGGAGCGUGGAAGAACUUUUCAUAACUGGCGGCCUCAAAGAAUAGGUGGUGGACUAGGAAUAAAUGGAGUUGGAGGUGAUAUGCUUGUGCUCGCAUUGCUAAUGAUGAUUAUUGUCAAUUUGUUUAAUAUUGUCACAAUUAUGUAGACUUUUGAGCUUUAUUAUAUUUUGGAGAUUAUAAUUGAUGUAAAGUAGAAAAUAAUUUUUUUUUGGUAAUUGUAAGAAUUAUUUUGGAAUUUAUUAAAUGGUUAAAUGCUGAUUUUUUU
Spinacia oleracea (spinach) is the source of this 1526-nucleotide long non-coding RNA. RefSeq lists it as uncharacterized. The record is from RefSeq and is a predicted model, not a curated record. NCBI's taxonomy places the organism in Eukaryota, Viridiplantae, Streptophyta, Magnoliopsida, Caryophyllales, Amaranthaceae. The transcript is spliced from 6 exons.